Molecule: ribosomal RNA, 492 nt
Filed under: uncultured bacterium
Lineage: Bacteria
Description: partial 16S ribosomal RNA
Rfam family: Bacterial small subunit ribosomal RNA
Source: RNAcentral
AGUGAACGCUGUCGGUAGGCCUAACACAUGCAAGUCGAACGGCAGCACAGUAAGAGCUUGCUCUUACGGGUGGCGAGUGGCGGACGGGUGAGGAAUACAUCGGAAUCUACUUUUUCGUGGGGGAUAACGUAGGGAAACUUACGCUAAUACCGCAUACGACCUACGGGUGAAAGCAGGGGAUCUUCGGACCUUGCGCGAUUGAAUGAGCCGAUGUCGGAUUAGCUAGUUGGCGGGGUAAAGGCCCACCAAGGCGACGAUCCGUAGCUGGUCUGAGAGGAUGAUCAGCCACACUGGAACUGAGACACGGUCCAGACUCCUAAGGGAGGCAGCAGUGGGGAAUAUUGGACAAUGGGCGCAAGCCUGAUCCAGACAUACCGCGUGGGUGAAGAAGGCCUUCGGGUUGUAAAGCCCUUUUGUUGGGAAAGAAAAGCAGCAGGUUAAUACCCCGCUGUUCUGACGGUACCCAAAGAAUAAGCACCGGCUAACUUCGUG